This 395-nucleotide ribosomal RNA is filed under the name uncultured bacterium. RNAcentral's name for it is "partial 16S ribosomal RNA". It matches the Rfam family "Bacterial small subunit ribosomal RNA", at positions 360 to 773 of the family's 1533-position model. The record is from RNAcentral.
AAUAUUGCGCAAUGGACGGAAGUCUGACGCAGCGACGCCGCGUGAGCGAUGAAGGUCUUCGGAUCGUAAAGCUCUGUCCUAAGGGAAGAAACGGACGGUACCUUAGGAGGAAGCCCCGGCUAACUACGUGCCAGCAGCCGCGGUAAUACGUAGGGGGCGAGCGUUAUCCGGAAUUAUUGGGCGUAAAGGGUGCGUAGGCGGCUUUUUAAGUCAGAUGUGAAAGGCUACGGCUUAACCGUAGUUAGCAUUUGAAACUAAAAGGCUUGAGUGCAGGAGAGGAGAGUGGAAUUCCUAGUGUAGCGGUGAAAUGCGUAGAUAUUAGGAGGAACACCAGUGGCGAAGGCGACUCUCUGGACUGCAACUGGCGCUGAGGCACGAAAGCGUGGGGAGCGAAC